RNAcentral lists this unclassified non-coding RNA (377 nucleotides) under uncultured Actinomycetes bacterium. RNAcentral's name for it is "uncultured actinobacterium contains 16S-23S intergenic spacer region". Lineage: Bacteria; Bacillati; Actinomycetota; Actinomycetes. The record is from RNAcentral.
UCCGGUUUGGCACCGGCAGUCUCCCUAGAGUUCCCGGCUUUACCCGCUGGCAACUAAGGACAAGGGUUGCGCUCGUUGCGCCACUUAAGGCAACACCUCACGACACGAGCUGACGACAGCCAUGCACCACCUGUGUACGGCCCCGAAGGACACCGUAUCUCUACGGCUUUUCCCAUGAUGUCAAACCCAGGUAAGGUUCUUCGGGUCGCAUCGAAUUAAGCCGCAUGUUCCGCCGCUUGUGCGGGGACCCGCCAAUUCCUUUGAGUUUUAGCCUUGCGGCCGUACUCCCCAGGCGGGGUGCUUAAUGCGUUAGCUUCGGCACGGACGGGGUUGAUAUCCGCCCACACCUAGCACCCAACGUUUACGGCUAGGACUAC